AGUGAACGCUGGCGGCGUGCUUAACACAUGCAAGUCGAACGAGAACGGGUUAUAGCUUGCUAUAAUUGUCAGCUAAGUGGCGCACGGGUGAGUAAUGUAUAGGUAAUAUGCCUCUUACUAAGGGAUAACAAAUGGAAACGUUUGCUAAUACCUUAUACUACUUUUAAACAGAAGUUUAAAAGGGAAAGAUUUAUUGGUAAGAGAUUAGCCUGUAUUGUAUCAGUUAGUUGGUGGGGUAAUGGCUUACCAAGACUAUGACACAUAACUGGUUUGAGAGGAUGAUCAGUCACACUGGAACUGAGACACGGUCCAGACUCCUACGGGAGGCAGCAGUGGGGAAUAUUGCACAAUGGACGAAAGUCUGAUGCAGCAACGCCGCGUGGAGGAUGACACAUUUCGGUGCGUAAACUCCUUUUAUAUGAGAAGAUAAUGACGGUAUUAUAUGAAUAAGCACCGGCUAACUCCGAGCCAGCCGCCGCCGUAA
RNAcentral lists this ribosomal RNA (484 nucleotides) under uncultured bacterium. RNAcentral describes it as "partial 16S ribosomal RNA". It matches the Rfam family "Bacterial small subunit ribosomal RNA", at positions 29 to 523 of the family's 1533-position model. The record is from RNAcentral.